This 440-nucleotide ribosomal RNA is filed under the name uncultured bacterium. RNAcentral's name for it is "partial 16S ribosomal RNA". It matches the Rfam family "Bacterial small subunit ribosomal RNA", at positions 339 to 795 of the family's 1533-position model. The record is from RNAcentral.
CUACGGGAUGCAGCAGUCAAGAACAUUCGACAAUGGGCGAAAGCCUGAUCGAGCGACGCCGCGUGCAGGAUGAAGUCCUUAGGGAUGUAAACUGCUUUUGCCAUGGAAAAAUUUUGAUUGUACAUGGAGAAUAAGGGGUUGCUAACCUCGUGCCAGCAGCAGCGGUAAUACGAGGACCCCAAGCGUUAUCCGGAAUUACUGGGCGUAAAGAGUGAGCAGUCGGUUGUGCUAGUCGAAUGUUAAAUCUUAGGGCUUAACCCUGAAACCGCAUUCGAAACGGCAUGACUAGAGCUGGUAAGAGGUAGGCGGAACGUGCGGUGUAGGGGUGAAAUCCAUUGAUAUCGCACGGAACACCAAAAGCGAAGGCAGCCUACUAGUGCUAUGCUGACGAUCAUUCACUAAAGCGUGGGGAUCAAAAAGGAUUAGAUACCCGCGUAGUC